CCUACGGGCGGCAGCAGUAGGGAAUAUUGCUCAAUGGGGGAAACCCUGAAGCAGCAACGCCGCGUGGAGGAUGAAGGUUUUCGGAUUGUAAACUCCUUUUGUUAGAGAAGAUAAUGACGGUAUCUAACGAAUAAGCCCCGGCUACCUCCGUGCCAGCAGCCGCGGUAAUACGGAGGGUGCAAGCGUUACUCGGAAUCACUGGGCGUAAAGCGCGCGUAGGCGGGAUAGCAAGUCAGAUGUGAAAUCCUAUGGCUUAACCACAGAACUGCAUUUGAAACUGUUAUUCUAGAGUAUGGGAGAGGUAGGUGGAAUUCUUGGUGUAGGGGUAAAAUCCGUAGAGAUCAAGAGGAAUACUCAUUGCGAAGGCGACCUGCUAGAACAUAACUGACGCUGAUGCGCGAAAGCGUGGGGAGCAAACAGGAUUAGAUACCCGAGUAGUC
RNAcentral lists this ribosomal RNA (440 nucleotides) under uncultured bacterium. Its description in RNAcentral is "partial 16S ribosomal RNA". It matches the Rfam family "Bacterial small subunit ribosomal RNA", at positions 338 to 795 of the family's 1533-position model. The record is from RNAcentral.